Molecule: ribosomal RNA, 229 nt
Filed under: uncultured bacterium
Lineage: Bacteria
Description: partial 16S ribosomal RNA
Rfam family: Bacterial small subunit ribosomal RNA
Source: RNAcentral
UGCGUAGGCGGACUAAUAAGUCAGUGGUGAAAUCUUUCGGCUCAACCGAGAAACUGCCAUUGAUACUGUUAGUCUUGAGUUUGGUUGAGGUAGGCGGAAUGUGUAAUGUAGCGGUGAAAUGCUUAGAUAUUACACAGAACACCAAUUGCGUAGGCAGCUUACUAGACCGACACUGACGCUGAGGCACGAAAGCGUGGGGAGCGAACAGGAUUAGAUACCCUGGUAGUCC